Molecule: ribosomal RNA, 445 nt
Filed under: uncultured bacterium
Lineage: Bacteria
Description: bacterial SSU rRNA
Rfam family: Bacterial small subunit ribosomal RNA
Source: RNAcentral
AACUAACGCUGGCGGCGCGCCUAAUACAUGCAAGUCGAACGAUGUAGCAAUACAUAGUGGCGCACGGGAGAGUAACACGUGGAUAAUCUCCCCUCGAGAGAGGAAUAACUAGUCGAAAGAUUGGCUAAUACUUCAUAAGACCACAGAAACUAAUGUUUCAGAGGUAAAAGUCGUAAGACGCUUGAGGAUGAGUCUGCGUCCCAUUAGCUAGUUGGUGAGGUAACGGCUCACCAAGGCGACGAUGGGUAGCUGGUCUGAGAGGAUGAUCAGCCUCACUGGAACUGACACACGGUCCAGACUCCUACGGAGGCAGCAGUAGGGAAUAUUGCACAAUGGGCGAAAGCCUGAUGCAGCGACGCCGCGUGAGUGAUGAAGGACUUCGGUUGUAAGCUCUGUUGUCAGGGAAUAAAAAAUAGAAUGUACUGACGAGAAAGGACCGGCUAAC